CUACGGGGGGCUGCAGUAGGGAAUCUUGCACAAUGGGCGAAAGCCUGAUGCAGCGACGCCGCGUGGAGGAUGACGGUUUUCGGAUUGUAAACUCCUGUUAAGUGGGAAGAAAGGCGUGCGGUUAAUAUCCGCACGAGAUGACGGUACCACUAGAGAAAGCUCCGGCUAACUUCGUGCCAGCAGCCGCGGUAAUACGAAGGGAGCAAGCGUUAUUCGGAAUUACUGGGCGUAAAGGGCGCGUAGGCGGCUUGCUAAGUCAGUUGUUAAAUACCAUGGCUCAACCAUGGAUCAGCAAUUGAUACUGGCAAGCUAAGAGGGCAAGAGAGAGAAGUGGAAUUCCCGGAGUAGCGGUAAAAUGCGUAGAUCUCGGGAGGAACACCGAUGGCGAAGGCAGCUUCUUGGCUUGUACCUGACGCUGAGGCGCGAAAGCGUGGGGAGCAAACAGGAUUAGAUACCCGGGUAGUC
This 465-nucleotide ribosomal RNA is filed under the name uncultured bacterium. RNAcentral's name for it is "partial 16S ribosomal RNA". It matches the Rfam family "Bacterial small subunit ribosomal RNA", at positions 339 to 795 of the family's 1533-position model. The record is from RNAcentral.